Molecule: ribosomal RNA, 432 nt
Filed under: uncultured bacterium
Lineage: Bacteria
Description: bacterial SSU rRNA
Rfam family: Bacterial small subunit ribosomal RNA
Source: RNAcentral
CUCAGAUUGAACGCUGGCGGAAUGCUUUACACAUGCAAGUCGAGCGGCAGCGCGGGGGCAACCCUGGCGGCGAGCGGCGAACGGGUGAGUAAUAUAUCGGAACGUACCCCGUCGUGGGGGAUAACACAGCGAAAGCUGUGCUAAUACCGCAUACGACCUGAGGGUGAAAGCGGGGGAUCGCAAGACCUCGCGCGAUGGGAGCGGCCGAUAUCGGAUUAGCUUGUUGGUGAGGUAAAGGCUCACCAAGGCGACGAUCCGUAGCUGGUCUGAGAGGACGACCAGCCACACUGGAACUGAGACACGGUCCAGACUCCUACGGGAGGCAGCAGUGGGGAAUUUUGGACAAUGGGGGCAACCCUGAUCCAGCCAUUCCGCGUGAGUGAAGAAGGCCUCGGUGUAAGACGUCUUUCUAGUCAGGAACGAAACGGUAGG